GGAAAGACAAACACGGAGACGGGGAGAAAGGAUUAUUUUCUCAUGGGCACGGGAAUACGAGCGGAUAUCCAGGGCAAUACCCCCCUCAAGGGUACCCUCCUCAAGGGUAUCCCCCAGCACCAGGGGCGUAUGGUCAUGAAGGGUACCCCCCACAAGGGUACCCCCCUUCUGGAUAUCCCCCUGCCGGUGGAUACCCGCCAGCAGGCUAUCCUGGUUCCCAGCACGGGCAUGGAGGAGGGCACGGAGGACCGGGCAUGGGAAUGAUGUUAGGGGGGGGUGCAGCAGCUGCAGCACUUGCAUAUGGCGCACAUCAAAUGACUUCUCAUCAUGGCGGUGGUGGACAUGGCGGCGGUUUUCUCGGACACGGAGGGUCACAUGAAAUGUCACAUGGUGGAGGUUACGGAGGUUAUCCUGGGCAUGGAGGGUUCUCAGGACAUGGAGGUUAUGCUGAACAUGGCGGUCACGGUCAUGGCGGUCAUGGCCAUGGCAAGUUCAAGCAUGGAAAGUUCAAGCAUGGAAAGCACGGCCACCAUGGCAAGUUCAAGCAUGGAAAGUUCAAGCAUGGAAAGCACGGCCA
This 577-nucleotide unclassified non-coding RNA is filed under the name Hevea brasiliensis (rubber tree). The record is from RNAcentral. Lineage: Eukaryota; Viridiplantae; Streptophyta; Magnoliopsida; Malpighiales; Euphorbiaceae.